This 536-nucleotide ribosomal RNA is filed under the name Escherichia coli. RNAcentral's name for it is "partial 23S ribosomal RNA". It matches the Rfam family "Bacterial large subunit ribosomal RNA", at positions 2150 to 2685 of the family's 2925-position model. Lineage: Bacteria; Pseudomonadati; Pseudomonadota; Gammaproteobacteria; Enterobacterales; Enterobacteriaceae. The record is from RNAcentral.
GGAGGCUUUGAAGUGUGGACGCCAGUCUGCAUGGAGCCGGCCUUGAAAUACCACCCUUUAAUGUUUGAUGUUCUAACGUUGACCCGUGAUCCGGGUUGCGGACAGUGUCUGGUGGGUAGUUUGACUGGGGCGGUCUCCUCCUAAAGAGUAACGGAGGAGCACGAAGGUUGGCUAAUCCUGGUCGGACAUCAGGAGGUUAGUGCAAUGGCAUAAGCCAGCUUGACUGCGAGCGUGACGGCGCGAGCAGGUGCGAAAGCAGGUCAUAGUGAUCCGGUGGUUCUGAAUGGAAGGGCCAUCGCUCAACGGAUAAAAGGUACUCCGGGGAUAACAGGCUGAUACCGCCCAAGAGUUCAUAUCGACGGCGGUGUUUGGCACCUCGAUGUCGGCUCAUCACAUCCUGGGGCUGAAGUAGGUCCCAAGGGUAUGGCUGUUCGCCAUUUAAAGUGGUACGCGAGCUGGGUUUAGAACGUCGUGAGACAGUUCGGUCCCUAUCUGCCGUGGGCGCUGGAGAACUGAGGGGGGCUGCUCCUAGUACG